This 122-nucleotide small RNA is filed under the name Arabidopsis thaliana (thale cress). RNAcentral describes it as "ATSL220660". The record is from RNAcentral. Lineage: Eukaryota; Viridiplantae; Streptophyta; Magnoliopsida; Brassicales; Brassicaceae.
AGUUUUUUAAGAAACACAUCAAAUAUAAUCUACAUAUAUAUUUUUGCAGCUAUUUUGUGAAAUAAAUCUUGGAGUUGAGACUUAUUUACAAUGGCUGCCACUGGUUUUUAAUUAUUAUUUUU